CAGAGUCCAAAAAUUCCCUCCCUGACUUUGAAAAAUCCGGUUUCCUGAUUGGUCCUCUGGUCAGGUGUUUGGUUCCCUUGGUUGACCCUUUACAGGUAAAAGAAACAUUAACCCUUAGCUAUCUGUUUGUGACAACCCCCCCUUUCUCUCGCAGGCUGCGGGUGAACUCAGAGGGCAGCCGGGGGCGCCAGCGACCCGGGACCAGCCCAAUUCGCAAACUGGCUUCUCCCUUCAUCGACUCGGGGCGUCUGCCCUUUGCCCUUCAGCCCCCCAGCGCCCCACGGGCUGUCGACAGGACGGAGCGGGGGGCUCUGGGGGUCGGACCCCCUGGUGGAGGUCACCCCCAUAGUGGAGAGAAACAAGGGGCCCCAGAGAAGCACGUGGAGAUGGAUAAGGCCGUGACGCGGAACAUGGACUCCGUGUUCAAGGAGCUGCUCAGCAAAAGUGGGGGAAAGCGGGGAGGGGCAACGCUGUCCCCGAGCCCCCUGAGGCCCUAGAUCCCCCCCACCUGCCCUGUCCCCCCCCCAAACCUGCCUUCAGUCUGUACAAGACAGGGCUCUUCAAAGCCACCGGGAGUGGCCCCCGAUAUCCUCCAGGCCAAGCUCGCCCCACAGCUCCUUGUGCCCAGGGGGGUCCCUUUGGGGGUUCCCGGCCCCUGCUUUGAGCACAGCUUUGUACCCAGGGGAGGGGGAAGCUGCUGUCUGUUGGGGGUCCCCCACCCCAAAUAAUGUUUGCUUAAAUUCUCUGUGUCUCUGUUAGAGCCCGGACGCCUGGGUUCUCUCCUCAGCUCUGCGAGGGGAGUGGAGGGGCUGGAAGCCUGGACUCCUGGGUUCUAUCUCCCCAAUUUUCAAGCUGUCCUCCACCUCCCCGUUACCCCUCAAUCUGCGUCGGAGGGCCCCACCUGCAGAUAACAUGAUCCUAGCCCCACCCCUGACCCAUUGGGGCUCCCCCCAUCUGCCCCCCGGCAAUGAACCCGAUUUUUACACGCAGU
This 991-nucleotide long non-coding RNA is filed under the name Chelonoidis abingdonii (Abingdon island giant tortoise). RNAcentral describes it as "lncRNA (ENSCABG00000013526.1)". Lineage: Eukaryota; Metazoa; Chordata; Testudines; Testudinidae. The record is from RNAcentral.